UACAGAGGGGGCAAGCGUUGUUCGGAAUUACUGGGCGUAAAGGGCGCGUAGGCGGCCUUCUAAGUCGAACGUGAAAUCCCCGGGCUCAACCCGGGAACUGCGUCCGAUACUGGGAGGCUUGAAUCCGGGAGAGGGAUGUGGAAUUCCAGGUGUAGCGGUGAAAUGCGUAGAUAUCUGGAGGAACACCGGUGGCGAAGGCGGCAUCCUGGACCGGUAUUGAUGCUGAGGCGCGAAAGCCAGGGGAGCAAACGGG
Molecule: ribosomal RNA, 253 nt
Filed under: uncultured bacterium
Lineage: Bacteria
Description: partial 16S ribosomal RNA
Rfam family: Bacterial small subunit ribosomal RNA
Source: RNAcentral